GCUCUUUGCAGCAGAUGGAGACUUGACAACAUCCUUCCCAUAGAGACCUUCUGUCCAAAAUACACUGGAAAGCAAAGCUGCUCAAACUAUGUCCAGAAUUCCAGAUUGCCUUCUCCUUUUGAGAGAUCUUCCUGAAACUCUCAAGAUGGCACAGAAAACUUUGAACAGAAGGUCUGGACUGAGCCUGAAACACUGCAACCCUAACAAUUUCACCAAUAACACUGAUCAGAGACCACAGUGUGAUUGAUGUGGGGCCAGUACAGAGGACACACUGAGGUCAGAAGGAAGCCCAGUUCAUGACUCUUGCACUUACUGGCUCAGGACAAUGCCUAGAGCAACUAAAUUCUGG
RNAcentral lists this long non-coding RNA (349 nucleotides) under Heterocephalus glaber (naked mole-rat). RNAcentral describes it as "lncRNA (ENSHGLG00000041444.1)". The record is from RNAcentral. Lineage: Eukaryota; Metazoa; Chordata; Mammalia; Rodentia; Bathyergidae.